This 400-nucleotide ribosomal RNA is filed under the name uncultured bacterium. Its description in RNAcentral is "bacterial SSU rRNA". It matches the Rfam family "Bacterial small subunit ribosomal RNA", at positions 355 to 772 of the family's 1533-position model. The record is from RNAcentral.
UGGGGAAUUUUGCGCAAUGGGGGAAACCCUGACGCAGCAACGCCGCGUGGAGGAUGAAGUAUCUUGGUACGUAAACUCCUUUCGAUGGGGAAGAUAAUGACGGUACCCAUAGAAGAAGCCCCGGCUAACUUCGUGCCAGCAGCCGCGGUAAUACGAGGGGGGCAAGCGUUGUUCGGAAUUAUUGGGCGUAAAGGGUGCGUAGGCGGUUUGACAAGUCUUAUGUGAAAUCUUCGGGCUCAACCCGAAGUCUGCAUGAGAAACUGUUGAGCUUGAGUAUGGGAGAGGUGAGUGGAAUUUCCGGUGUAGCGGUGAAAUGCGUAGAUAUCGGAAGGAACACCUGUGGCGAAAGCGGCUCACUGGACCAUAACUGACGCUGAGGCACGAAAGCUAGGGGAGCAAA